RNAcentral lists this ribosomal RNA (467 nucleotides) under uncultured bacterium. RNAcentral's name for it is "partial 16S ribosomal RNA". It matches the Rfam family "Bacterial small subunit ribosomal RNA", at positions 28 to 507 of the family's 1533-position model. The record is from RNAcentral.
GAUGAACGCUGGCGGCGCGCCUAACACAUGCAAGUCGAACGAUUAAAGCACCUUCGGGUGUGUAUAAAGUGGCGAACGGCUGAGUAACACGUUUGCAACCUGCCCCUCUCAUUAGGAUAGCCACGGGAAACCGUGGAUAAUACCGAAUACUUCUGGACUUCCGCAUGGAAGACUCGAGAAAGCUCCGGCGGAGAGGGAUGGGCCCGCGGCCUGUUAGCUUGUUGGUGGGGUAAUGGCCUACCAAGGCAAUGAUGGGUAGCUGGGUUGAGAGGCCGACCAGCCAGAUCGGGACUGAGACACGGCCCAGACUCCUACGGGAGGCAGCAGUGGGGAAUCGUGCACAAUGGGAGAAAGCCUGAUGCAGCGACGCCGCGUGCGGGAUGAAGGCCUUCGGGUUGUAAACCGCUUUCAGCAGGGACGAGGCGAAAGUGACGGUACCUGCAGAAGAAGCCCCGGCUAACUACGUG